RNAcentral lists this ribosomal RNA (497 nucleotides) under uncultured bacterium. RNAcentral describes it as "partial 16S ribosomal RNA". It matches the Rfam family "Bacterial small subunit ribosomal RNA", at positions 28 to 507 of the family's 1533-position model. The record is from RNAcentral.
GAUGAACGCUGGCGGCGUGCCUAAUACAUGCAAGUCGAGCGGACGGACGAGAAGCUUGCUUCUCUGAUGUUAGCGGCGGACGGGUGAGUAACACGUGGAUAACCUACCUAUAAGACUGGGAUAACUUCGGGAAACCGGAGCUAAUACCGGAUAAUAUUUUGAACCGCAUGGUUCAAAAGUGAAAGACGGUCUUGCUGUCACUUAUAGAUGGAUCCGCGCUGCAUUAGCUAGUUGGUAAGGUAACGGCUUACCAAGGCAACGAUGCAUAGCCGACCUGAGAGGGUGAUCGGCCACACUGGAACUGAGACACGGUCCAGACUCCUACGGGAGGCAGCAGUAGGCAAUCUGCCGCAAUGGGCGAAAGCCUGACGGAGCAACGCCGCGUGAGUGAUGAAGGUCUUCGGAUCGUAAAACUCUGUUAUUAGUGAAGAACAUAUGUGUAAGUAACUGUGCACAGCUUGACGGUACCUAAUCAGAAAGCCACGGCUAACUACGUG